CGGCCGCGUCGACCGGCGUACCUUUUGUAUAAUGGGUCAGCGACUUAUAUUCUGUAGCAAGGUUAACCGAAUAGGGGAGCCGUAGGGAAACCGAGUCUUAAUAGGGCGUCUAGUUGCAGGGUAUAGACCCGAAACCGAGUGAUCUAUCCAUGAGCAGGUUGAAAGUGACGUAACAGUUACCGGAGGACCGAACCCACUGUCUUUGAAAAGCCAGGGGAUGACUUGUGGAUAGGGGUGAAAGGCUAAUCAAACUCGGUGAUAGCUGGUUCUCCCCGAAAGCUAUUUAGGUAGCGCCUCGGACGAACACCAUUGGGGGUAGAGCACUGUUUCGGCUAGGGGGUCAUCCCGACUUACCAAACCGAUGCAAACUCCGAAUACCGAUGAGUGAUAUCCGGGAGACAGACGGCGGGUGCUAACGUCCGUCGUCAAGAGGGAAACAACCCAGACCGCCAGCUAAGGCCCCAAAUUCCUAGUUAAGUGGGAAACGAUGUGGGAAGGCACAGACAGCUAGGAGGUUGGCUUAGAAGCAGCCAUCCUUUAAAGAAAGCGUAAUAGCUCACUAGUCGAGUCGGCCUGCGACGGG
RNAcentral lists this small RNA (583 nucleotides) under uncultured Moraxella sp. RNAcentral describes it as "bacterial LSU rRNA". It matches the Rfam family "Bacterial large subunit ribosomal RNA", at positions 582 to 1167 of the family's 2925-position model. The record is from RNAcentral. Lineage: Bacteria; Pseudomonadati; Pseudomonadota; Gammaproteobacteria; Moraxellales; Moraxellaceae.